RNAcentral lists this long non-coding RNA (394 nucleotides) under Coffea arabica (coffee). RNAcentral describes it as "long non-coding RNA (CARA_LNC008151)". Lineage: Eukaryota; Viridiplantae; Streptophyta; Magnoliopsida; Gentianales; Rubiaceae. The record is from RNAcentral.
AGAAAAAAGAGAAUCAAGGAAUCUGCAUUUUUUUUUUCUCCGAAAACGCGACUCAUCAAAACGCGCCACCAAGCCGCGUUUUAUGAAGUCGCGUUUCUUCACAUAUCUUGCAGGAUCGAAAACGCGACUAUGCUUAAAAACGCGACUUUGAGUCGCGUAUUUGAAGUCGCGUUUUUGGUUUCUGAACAGGCUGGAAAACGCGACUUGGUAGAAAACGCGACUUCCUGUCGCGUUUUGAAGUCGCGUUUUCUUCAGUAUAGGCGCAGAAUUUAAAACGCGAUUAUGGAAAACGCGAUUCUAAGGCGCGUUUUCAGCCCAAGUGCGUUUUCUUCUGCGAAAUUUUUGCAGAAAGCCAAUUUUUGAAAAAUUACCAUUUGUACCCCAAUCACUCAAA